AGAGACGUUCAUCUGCUUCUGUUCUUGCCGUUCGCAGGGUCUGCCUCCAGCAAGUUCUCCUUCAGCAUGCUGAGUGUACCACAGGAGAGCUAGAGUCUCGCUCUGUUGCCCAGGAUGGAGUGCAGUGGCGCCAUUAUGGCUCACUGCAGCCUCAACCUCACUGGGCUCAAGCAAUCCUCCCACUUCAGCCUUCUGAGUAGCUGGGACUACAGGCGCACACCAGCAUGUUUAGCUAAUUUUUGUAUUUUUUGUAUUGAUGGAUUUUCACCUAUUGGCCAGGUUGGUCUUGUACUCCUGAGUUCAAGCGGUCCACUCGUCUUGGCCUUCCAUGUGCUGGGAUUACAGGCGUGAGCCACCUCGCUCGGCCUGGAUACACCAGGUUCAUCCAGCCACCUCGCCCGGCCUGGA
This 408-nucleotide long non-coding RNA is filed under the name Pongo abelii (Sumatran orangutan). Its description in RNAcentral is "lincRNA". Lineage: Eukaryota; Metazoa; Chordata; Mammalia; Primates; Hominidae. The record is from RNAcentral.